CCUACGGGAGGCAGCAGUGAGGAAUAUUGGUCAAUGGACGCAAGUCUGAACCAGCCAUGCCGCGUGCAGGAAGACGGCUCUAUGAGUUGUAAACUGCUUUUGUACGAGGGUAAACGCAGACACGCGUAUCUGUCUGAAAGUAUCGUACGAAUAAGGAUCGGCUAACUCCGUGCCAGCAGCCGCGGUAAUACGGAGGAUUCAAGCGUUAUCCGGAUUUAUUGGGUUUAAAGGGUGCGUAGGCGGUCGGAUAAGUUAGAGGUGAAAUCCCGAGGCUCAACUUCGGAAUUGCCUCUGAUACUGGUCGGCGAGAGAGUAGUUGCGGUAGGCGGAAUGUAUGGUGUAGCGGUGAAAUGCUUAGAGAUCAUACAGAACACCGAUUGCGAAGGCAGCUUACCAAGCUACUUCUGACGUUGAGGCACGAAAGCGUGGGGAGCAAACAGGAUUAGAUACCCGAGUAGUC
Molecule: ribosomal RNA, 460 nt
Filed under: uncultured bacterium
Lineage: Bacteria
Description: partial 16S ribosomal RNA
Rfam family: Bacterial small subunit ribosomal RNA
Source: RNAcentral